This 428-nucleotide ribosomal RNA is filed under the name Bacteroidota bacterium. RNAcentral's name for it is "Bacteroidetes bacterium partial 16S ribosomal RNA". It matches the Rfam family "Bacterial small subunit ribosomal RNA", at positions 355 to 776 of the family's 1533-position model. The record is from RNAcentral. Lineage: Bacteria; Pseudomonadati; Bacteroidota.
UAGGGAAUCUUCCGCAAUGGACGCAAGUCUGACGGAGCAACGCCGCGUGAGUGAAGAAGGAUUUCGGUUCGUAAAACUCUGUUGUUAGAGAAGAACAGCGCAUAGAGUAACUGUUAUGCGUGUGACGGUAUCUAACCAGAAAGCCACGGCUAACUACGUGCCAGCAGCCGCGGUAAUACGUAGGGGGCUAGCGUUGUCCGGAAUCACUGGGCGUAAAGGGUUCGCAGGCGGAAAAGCAAGUCAGGUGUAAAAGGCAGUAGCUUAACUACUGUAAGCAUUUGAAACUGCAUAUCUUGAGAAGAGUAGAGGUAAGUGGAAUUUUUAGUGUAGCGGUGAAAUGCGUAGAUAUUAAAAAGAAUACCGGUGGCGAAGGCGACUUACUGGGCUCAUUCUGACGCUGAGGAACGAAAGCGUGGGUAGCAAACAGG